GCGACAUUGGUGUAGUGGUUAGCAUUAAUGCCUUCCAAGCAUUAGAGGGGGGUUCGAUUCCCCCAUGUCGCA
This 72-nucleotide transfer RNA is filed under the name Hapsidospora chrysogenum ATCC 11550. Its description in RNAcentral is "Acremonium chrysogenum ATCC 11550 tRNA". It matches the Rfam family "tRNA". Rfam says of the family: Transfer RNA (tRNA) molecules are approximately 80 nucleotides in length. Their secondary structure includes four short double-helical elements and three loops (D, anti-codon, and T loops). Further hydrogen bonds mediate the characteristic L-shaped molecular structure. tRNAs have two regions of fundamental functional importance: the anti-codon, which is responsible for specific mRNA codon recognition, and the 3' end, to which the tRNAs corresponding amino acid is attached (by aminoacyl-tRNA synthetases). tRNAs cope with the degeneracy of the genetic code in two manners: having more than one tRNA (with a specific anti-codon) for a particular amino acid; and 'wobble' base-pairing, i.e. permitting non-standard base-pairing at the 3rd anti-codon position. The record is from Rfam by way of RNAcentral. Lineage: Eukaryota; Fungi; Ascomycota; Sordariomycetes; Hypocreales; Bionectriaceae.